Fusarium verticillioides 7600 is the source of this 104-nucleotide transfer RNA. It matches the Rfam family "tRNA". Rfam says of the family: Transfer RNA (tRNA) molecules are approximately 80 nucleotides in length. Their secondary structure includes four short double-helical elements and three loops (D, anti-codon, and T loops). Further hydrogen bonds mediate the characteristic L-shaped molecular structure. tRNAs have two regions of fundamental functional importance: the anti-codon, which is responsible for specific mRNA codon recognition, and the 3' end, to which the tRNAs corresponding amino acid is attached (by aminoacyl-tRNA synthetases). tRNAs cope with the degeneracy of the genetic code in two manners: having more than one tRNA (with a specific anti-codon) for a particular amino acid; and 'wobble' base-pairing, i.e. permitting non-standard base-pairing at the 3rd anti-codon position. The record is from Rfam. NCBI's taxonomy places the organism in Eukaryota, Fungi, Ascomycota, Sordariomycetes, Hypocreales, Nectriaceae.
GCGGGUUUAGCUCAGUUGGGAGAGCGUCAGACUGAAGUCAAACUUCAAUCCUCACCAAACCAAGUGAUAUCUGAAGGUCGUGUGUUCGAUCCACACAAACCGCA